UACGAAGGGGGCUAGCGUUGUUCGGAUUUACUGGGCGUAAAGCGCUCGUAGGCGGUUUGGUCAGUUAGGGGUGAAAUCCUGGAGCUCAACUCCAGAACUGCCUUUAAUACUGCCAUUCUCGAGUCCGGAAGAGGUAAGUGGAACUCCUAGUGUAGAGGUGGAAUUCGUAGAUAUUAGGAAGAACACCAGUGGCGAAGGCGGCUUACUGGACCGGUACUGACGCUGAGGUGCGAAAGCGUGGGGAGCAAACAGG
Molecule: ribosomal RNA, 253 nt
Filed under: uncultured bacterium
Lineage: Bacteria
Description: partial 16S ribosomal RNA
Rfam family: Bacterial small subunit ribosomal RNA
Source: RNAcentral